Molecule: RNA transcript, 2383 nt
Organism: Lycium barbarum (goji berry)
Lineage: Eukaryota; Viridiplantae; Streptophyta; Magnoliopsida; Solanales; Solanaceae
Exons: 6
Source: RefSeq, a predicted model, not a curated record
GAGAGAGAGAGAGAGAGAGAGAGAGAGAGAGAGAGAGAGAGCCAUCUACAUUGCCAUCGUCGUCGCCGUCCAUGGCCUUUUCCCUUUCUCUCUCUUUUGAUUUAAGCUGACACACACAAUGGAGUAAAAAAUGGAGUUUCAAAGCAACACUCAUUGCUUCACGGAGACCACCACUUCACUGUCAGCCUGUGUUACCUCUACUUCCCUGUUAUCUAUCCAUUGCUACUUGUUGUGUUGGAAUUUUAAGGUUGCAAUACCCCCUCUUCUCGAAGGUUUGGCCUCAUUCCAAUGGUGGCAUAUGAGGACAUUUUGUUUUUUCUGAUCCUUCCUGUUGCUUAAGGCGAUGGUAUGUUUGAGACCACUUUUCUUGCAAUGAUGAUAAUUUCUUAUAAUAUAAGCAUGAUGAGAAAACAAAUCUACUCGCUCUUGGCAAGGCAACCCGGUUGGCCGAUAGCAUCGGUGCAACCAGAGUUCGUAGGCAUGACGAUGUCUCUGUCCCCUUGCUUGGCAAUACUACAUACUGAGCCUAAAAAGCUUCUUUUACUAAUCACUGGCUUGUCAGUACUUCUAUUCAGGCUCUGAUUUUUGCUCUCUUGUUGACCUAUGUUGAGUGUUAACUGACUGCUCUUACCCUCCUCGCAGGCUCGCACAAACACUGCACUCACCUAGCCAGACCUCUCUGCUCUUUCUCCCCUAACACUGCUCUCUUCUUCUUUUCCUCUUGGCUAUUAUUAUGGUUUGAGUUAUUUUCCUGUUUGUCGGUAUUUUUCUUAAGUUCGCGAUGCUAAGGUGGAUUUCAUAACUGAAAAGUGAUAAGAUAUCACCGCUUUCUUUAAGUCUGAAAAGAAAUAUAGAUUCUUCGGAGUUUAGAAUCUCUGUUAAAGGUAUUAAUAAAGGUAUGCAUUAUGCCUUAGAAUACAUGUCUAUAAUUUGAGGUAGGUAACUGUUGCACUUUUGAGGGUUAAAUAAGUUGCAUUCUUGAGACACCUUUGAGGCAAAUUAAUGGUUCAUGUGAGGCAAGCAUAUGGUAUUUUUUGAGUUGCUAUUUGAUGAACUGCUACUACAUUUGAAUGAGUUUUGUAUCUGCACUUUGAGAGUUGUUUAUUGUGUUUGAAUGAUUGCAUUUACAACAAACAUAUGUGGCCUUUGAGAUAGAAACUCCUAUACUUGAUUGGUGCCUACUUUUUCCAAACAAGAAUUGAUGCUACAUUGCGAAAAUCCUGAAUAAAAAUUGUUGCACUUUUAGUCAUUUUGCUGUUGUAUGUUGGGGUAAAACUGUUGCUCUUAAUAUAUAGUUGUGCAUUUGAUAGAAGCUGUUACACUUGACAUGAUUGCUGUCUUUUAGAAUGCAAAGAAAUACAACACUUGAGGAUGAUUCUGAAUCAGGUUACUACUGCCUUGAGCCCUGCUAUUUUGUUGCUAUGUUCUGAGCCAUCUUUGUGGCAUUUUGAGCCAAUUUGUGGCUUCAUGCUUGGCUGCACCAGGAGAAAAGGUGUUCUUUGCUAUACGUAACUGCUGAUGCUACUGCAUCUUGAGGCAUGACUGAUUCUGGCAUUUGUAACCCCAUCCCAAGGCUAUUCAUAGAUGUUGUUUGUGGUUGCUGUUUUCCUAGGAUAAUCUGGUUCAUUUUGAAUAUGUUGCUGAUCAUCAGUUUGCUAUGGCUUCUGUGUUUAAACAGAUACUACACUAGACAAGGUUGUUGUUUUGAUAGCUGCUGAGCCUUUCUGAUCGUUCUGCUGGUGUGUUAUGUUGGCUGAAACUUGAAGAGAAGUCUAAUUUAUGCUUUUCCCACAUCAGUUAUCCGCAUAAAUGGUAUCCACAAAUUGCAGACAUAUUUAUGCAUUGGAGAUUUUGACCUGAUGAAUGUUGAAGGAGUUACAAGAGGGAAUGUGGCAAGCCAUCUCUAGGAAAGAUAUCAAGAAGUAUUACGGGAAAAAUCACAGUCUCAGUCUGAUAUUGAUCAAUGUGAAGCAUAUUACGAAGCUGCUGGGGGAACAAGGAAGAGAAGAAUAUAUGAUCUUGGAUCUCAAGCACAAAGUUAUUAUGGGUCGAAUCUUUGCGUCAAUUUUGGCUUUAAUCUUCAGCAUCAGCAGCACCUUCAACUUCUCAAUCAGCACCGACAGAAAAUAUGGAGGAGUUAGUGAUGCAAUUGAUUCCUACACUGACUGAUCGCUUGCUUCCUUUAUUUAUUGCUAACGUUGACGAUGUUGAUCCUUUAGUUUCUGAAAAUGAUCGUAGUCCUUCACCCAUGCAUUAAUUUUUUAUGUUAUCUGCUUUUUGUUGGAAAGAACAAAAUUAUGCACUAACAAUACUUGAUGGAUGUGUGGGUUGUUUUGGUAGUUGAUAGCUUGGUGUUGUCGGUGUUUUGGACUUAACGAUUAGG